RNAcentral lists this ribosomal RNA (496 nucleotides) under uncultured bacterium. Its description in RNAcentral is "partial 16S ribosomal RNA". It matches the Rfam family "Bacterial small subunit ribosomal RNA", at positions 28 to 506 of the family's 1533-position model. The record is from RNAcentral.
GAUGAACGCUGGCGGCGUGCCUAAUACAUGCAAGUCGAGCGAACGGACGAGAAGUUUGCUUCUCUGAUGUUAGCGGCGCACGGGUGUGUCACACGUGUAUAACCUCCUUAUAAGACUGGGAUAACUUCGGGAAACCGGAUCUAAUACCGGAUAAUAUUUUGAUCCGCAUGGUUCAAAAGUGAAAGACGGUCUUUCUGGCUCGUAUAGAUGCAUCCCCGCUUCAUUAGCUGGUUGGUAGCGUAACGGCUUAUCAAGGCAACGAUGCAUAGCCGACCUAAGAGGGUGAUCGGCCACUCUGGAGCUGAGCGGCGGUCCAGGGUCCGACGGGAGGCAGCGGUAGGGACUCUACCGCGAUGGGCGAAAGCCUGCAGGAGCAGCGCCGCGUGAGUGAUGAAGGGCUGCGGGUCGUAAAACGCUGUUAUUAGGGAAGAACAUAUGUGUCUGUAACGGUGCGCGUCUUGCCGGUACCGAAUCAGAAAGCCCCGGCUACCUCCGU